AAAGUCGUAACAAGGUCUCCGUAGGUGAACCUGCGGAGGGAUCAUUACAGAGUUGAAAGACUCCCAAACCCACUGUGAACAUACCGAUCUGUUGCUUCGGCAGGCGGCCCCAGGGCGGGGCCACCGCCUUCUCGGCGCCUGCCGGAGGACCUCAAACUCUCUGUUACAGUUACCUGAGUACAAGACCCAAUAAGUCAAAACCUUCAACAACGGAUCUCUUGGUUCUG
Molecule: unclassified non-coding RNA, 227 nt
Filed under: Ascomycota sp.
Lineage: Eukaryota; Fungi; Ascomycota
Description: partial contains small subunit ribosomal RNA, internal transcribed spacer 1, and 5.8S ribosomal RNA
Rfam family: Eukaryotic small subunit ribosomal RNA (bases 1-47)
Source: RNAcentral